GCCUCGUCUCUUACCCCACGGAUAAGCACGAUGCCACGAGACAUUUCUCACGACCAGCCUCUCGCCAGCAUGCUCAAGGCGAUCGAGGAGCAACUUGAUCGGCUGC
Molecule: non-coding RNA, 106 nt
Filed under: Lotharella globosa
Lineage: Eukaryota; Cercozoa; Chlorarachniophyceae
Source: RNAcentral